Molecule: ribosomal RNA, 468 nt
Filed under: uncultured bacterium
Lineage: Bacteria
Description: partial 16S ribosomal RNA
Rfam family: Bacterial small subunit ribosomal RNA
Source: RNAcentral
GACGAACGCUGGCGGCGUGCUUAACACAUGCAAGUCGAACGGAAAGGCCCUGCUUUUGUGGGGUGCUCGAGUGGCGAACGGGUGAGUAACACGUGAGUAACCUGCCCUUGACUUUGGGAUAACUUCAGGAAACUGGGGCUAAUACCGGAUAGGAGCUCCUGCUGCAUGGAGGGGGUUGGAAAGUUUCGGCGGUUGGGGAUGGACUCGCGGCUUAUCAGCUUGUUGGUGGGGGAGUGGCUUACCAAGGCUUUGACGGGUAGCCGGCCUGAGAGGGUGACCGGCCACAUUGGUACUGAGGUACGGCCCAGUCUCCUACGGGGGGCAGCAGGGGGGAACCUUGCACAAUGGGCGCAAGCCUGAUGCAGCAGCGCCGCGGGCGUGAUGCCGGCCUUCGGGUUGUAAACCGCUUUCGCCUGUGACGCAGCGUGAGUGACGGUAAUGGGUAAAGAAGCACCGGCUAACUACGUG